AUGAUCUUGUGUUUUGUGCAGUUGGAGGAGUGUGAUCAGAUGCUGUGCAUGAGAGGCAAAUUGUCAUCACCCUCUGGUGAUGAAAGAAACCAUGAGGAAAUGACCACCGAUGUCGCAAGUGGGGGAGAGGACAGAGAGUUGAGGACCCAUUUAUGUCUCUGAACUCCAGCUGAGUGUUUAUGGAAGCCUUCCUCCAGAGACACCUGCCAGAUCUUGAUCCCUGCUCGAAGCCUCACUGCUGUGGCUAUGCACUGCUGUGGAUUACUGGGAUAAGAAGUGACCUUGGAAAAUGUGACUGCAAGUGGUAAAAGCCAGGACGUUUUUCUGUAAAGUUAACACUUCCUUUGCAUCUGGGUUUGUUAUGAGUAACCAUACAUGGUUCAAGGUUCUUAGAAAACUAUUUUCUGGUAUCUUUGA
This 417-nucleotide long non-coding RNA is filed under the name Cairina moschata (Muscovy duck). RNAcentral describes it as "domestica (muscovy Duck (domestic type)) lncRNA (ENSCMMG00000011092.1)". Lineage: Eukaryota; Metazoa; Chordata; Aves; Anseriformes; Anatidae. The record is from RNAcentral.